CUAGUCAAAUGCCUAGGACUUGGGUAUGUUAAUAUCCAUGCAUGUGAAAAUGAUUGCAUUCUAUUUUGGAAGAACAAUGCCAAUGCCAAUUCAUGCCCAGAAUGUAAGGCUUCAAGAUGGAAAUCUGAAAGGAAGAGUGCAGAUGGGAAACGUGUCCACAAGGUUCCUAAGAAGGUUCUUCGUUACUUUCCAAUAAAGAAGAGGCUUCAAAGGUUGUUUGUGUGUUCCAGAACUGCGGCUCUCACAAGAUGGCAUGCAGAAGAGCGCACACAAGAUGGCUUGAUUAGGCAUCCUAAAGAUUCCCUCCUUUGGAAAGAUUUUGAUGAAAAAAAUAAAGAUUUUGCAAAAGACAGCAGAAAUCUUAAGCUUGUAGUAUGUGCCAAUGGUUUUAAUCCAUUUAGAUCCAUGAAUCUCAGCUAUAGCAUUUGGCCAGUAUUAUUGAUUCCUUAUAACUUUCCACCCUGGAUGAUUAUGAAGCAAUCAAAUUUUAUCCUAUCACUGUUGAUUCCUGGCAGAAAUUCUCCUGGUAGUGAUAUUGAUGUCUAUCUUGAGCCACUAGUUGAUGAUAUGGUAGAUAUGUUUCUUGAUGGUGUUAGGACCUAUGAUGCUUCAACCAGAGAGUAUUUUCAGUUGCAUGCUGCCAUAAUAUGCACAAUUACGGAUAAACCGGGUCUUGGGUCUUUGGUUGCCUGU
This 693-nucleotide ribosomal RNA is filed under the name Triticum aestivum (bread wheat). Its description in RNAcentral is "partial small subunit ribosomal RNA". Lineage: Eukaryota; Viridiplantae; Streptophyta; Magnoliopsida; Poales; Poaceae. The record is from RNAcentral.